This 253-nucleotide ribosomal RNA is filed under the name uncultured bacterium. RNAcentral's name for it is "partial 16S ribosomal RNA". It matches the Rfam family "Bacterial small subunit ribosomal RNA", at positions 524 to 776 of the family's 1533-position model. The record is from RNAcentral.
UACGGGGGGGGCAAGCGUUGUUCGGAAUUACUGGGCGUAAGGGGCUCGUAGGCGGCCAACUAAGUCAUACGUGAAAUCCCUCGGCUUAACCGGGGAACUGCGUCUGAUACUGGAUGGCUUGAGUUCGGGAGAGGGAUGCGGAAUUCCUGGUGUAGCGGUGAAAUGCGCAGAUAUCAGGAGGAACACCGGUGGCGAAGGCGGGUCUCUGGGCCGAUACUGACGCUGAGGAGCGAAAGCGUGGGGAGCGAACAGG